AGAUGUAACGGAUAGCAGUUUGGCCGGAUACCGGAUACCGGAUAUUCGGCCUACCACCUGGCCGGAUAGCCGGAUAUCUGGCCGCCGAAUAUCCGGCGGAACUUAGCCGUUUGGUGCAGCGCACACACACUUGGCGUAGGCGACGCGCGAACGAUCGGGUGGCCUCGGUUUGAUUCGGGUCUUUUCGUUGAUGAGCGAAGUUAGCAAUUCUUUCAUUCAUUGACUUAUUGUGUCGAUUGCAGUGCAGACACGUGCGUGAUUUUAGGUUAUUAUUUCACUGUGCUAUUGUUUUAACAACGAGAAAUGGCAUCGGCGAAGAAAAAGUCGCCCUUAUGGGAAUACUUUGACAUAAACAGUGAAAAUAAUAAGUUAGCUGUUUGUUUAUUAUGCAAUGUUAAUAUUUCACGUGGCGGUGAAGGCAAAAAAGCAGGUACUUCUGCUAUGAAAAAUCAUUUAAAAUCAAAACAUCCAGAUGAAUUUCGUGCAGUGAAUAAAGACAAGGCCGCUGUCGAGCCUACUACAAUUUCUUUAGCCAUUGCGGGGACAAGUUCGUCGUCAUUUGCAAAAAAGCAAUUGACUACAGACAGAAUCUUUCGAAAGGAAAUUGCUCUGGGAUAUAAAUGAUGCUAAAGCCAAAAAGUACCAUUAUUUAGUAGCCGAAAUGAUUGCACUUGACAACGAGCCAUUGUCCAUAGUGGAAAGAACCGGAUUUACCAGACUCUUAGAACAAGCUUUACCCCGCUAUAAAUUGCCAAGCCGGACUUAUAUUAGCCAAAAAAUCGUUCUUGAUAUAUAUGACAGAAUUUACGAGAAAAUCAAACUUAACAUUUCGAGUGCCUUCGCUAUUUCAGUGACUUCUGACAUAUGGACUUGCUUACACAAUAAUGAUAGCUUUCUGAGCUUCACAGCUCAUUGGAUAUCAUCUGAAUUUAAACUAGAACACGGAGUUCUGGCAAUGAAGCCUUUCUCAGGGUCACACACAGGAGAAAAUAUAUCUAUGGAAAUUAACACUGUCGCACACCGCUGGGAUAUUGAGCACACUAAAAUACAUUUGUUAAUUCAUGAUAGUGGUGCUAAUAUGGUGAAGGGUGUCCGUUUGGCUAAGUACGAUUCUGCUAGAUGUUUUAUACAUACACUUCAAAGAGCAAUAAACGAGUCACUCAAAGUGCAGACUGAAGUGACAGCAAUGAUUGCUGCUGGCAGGCGACUUGUAACGCACUUCAAUCACUCAGGUUUAGCUCAAGAAAAACUGCUGACGAUUCAAAAAGAGCUAAGUUUACCCGAGCAUCAAUUAGUGCAAGAUAUUAGCACUAGGUGGAAUUCCACUUUUUACUUGAUUGAACGUUUGUUAGAACAAAAGCGUGCCAUAUCAUUGUAUGUUGCUGAUCACGAUACACUCGUAAAUUUGACAGCUCAACAGUGGAGUUUAAUGGAGCAGUGUAUCAAUUUAUUAAAGCCCUUCGAAGAAAUAACAAAAAUAACAAGUUCUGGACUAUCCUGCGUGUCGGAAGUUAUUCCACACGUAACUGCUUUAAAAAAAUACUUAGAUAAAGCUGAAACUGAGCAAAGAACUCCUGAUUUAUCACAUAUGCGCGCCUCGUUAAAAGCUGAAUUAGAAGUUCGUUUUAACUCCAUAAGUCAAGACUUAAACUACUUGAUUGCAACUUACCUAGAUCCGAGAUUUAAAACAAACUACUUGGGGGUGAUUGACGCUGAAAGAGCACGCCAGGAGAUCUUGUUGGAAUAUUUAAAAAUGUCUUGUGAAGAGUCCUCAAGUAGCAGUUCAUGUUCAACACCGGCUAAAAAGAGUAGAGGAGAGGAGACAGAGUCAGCUGUAUCUCGCAAAGCUCAUGACACGUUUUGGGAUUGUUUUGAUGAGGUAGCAAAUGAAAACAAUACUGGCCAGGUUCAACGCGAAGAAAGAAACGCGAUAACCUGUGAGCUGGAUUUUUAUCUCAAGUCAGUGCGAAUUGAUCGCAAUCGUGACCCUUAUUCUUGGUGGGCAGCUAAUGCCAAACAA
This is a long non-coding RNA of Plodia interpunctella (Indianmeal moth), 2020 nucleotides long. RefSeq lists it as uncharacterized. The record is from RefSeq and is a predicted model, not a curated record. NCBI's taxonomy places the organism in Eukaryota, Metazoa, Arthropoda, Insecta, Lepidoptera, Pyralidae. The transcript has 2 exons.